RNAcentral lists this ribosomal RNA (253 nucleotides) under uncultured bacterium. Its description in RNAcentral is "partial 16S ribosomal RNA". It matches the Rfam family "Bacterial small subunit ribosomal RNA", at positions 524 to 776 of the family's 1533-position model. The record is from RNAcentral.
UACGAGGGGGGCAAGCGUUGUUCAGAAUUAUUGGGCGUAAAGGGGGCGUAGGCGGUCUGAUAAGUCAUCUGUGAAAUCUAUGGGCUCAACCCAUAGUCUGCAGGCGAAACUGUCGGGCUUGAGUAUGGGAGAGGUGAGUGGAAUUUCCGGUGUAGCGGUGAAAUGCGUAGAUAUCGGAAGGAACACCUGUGGCGAAAGCGGCUCACUGGACCAUUACUGACGCUGAUGCACGAAAGCUAGGGGAGCAAACAGG